CCUACGGGAGGCAGCAGUGGGGAAUAUUGCACAAUGGGGGGAACCCUGAUGCAGCGACGCCGCGUGAGUGAAGAAGUCUUUCGGUAUGUAAAGCUCUAUCAGCAGGGGAGAAAAUGACGGUACCUGACUCAGAAGCCCCGGCUAACUACGUGCCAGCAGCCGCGGUAAUACGUAGGGAGCAAGCGUUAUCCGGAUUUACUGGGUGUAAAGGGAGCGCAGACGGCUGUGCAAGUCUGGAGUGAAAGGCGGGGGCCCAACCCCCGGACUGCUCUUGAAACUGUAAAGCUGGAGUGCAGGAGGGGGAAGCGGAAUUCCUAGUGUAGCGGUGAAAUGCGUAGAUAUUAGGAGGAACACCAGUGGCGAAGGCGGCUGACUGGACUGCAACUGACGUUGAGGCUCGAAAGCGUGGGGAGCAAACAGGAUUAGAUACCCCUGUAGUC
Molecule: ribosomal RNA, 440 nt
Filed under: uncultured bacterium
Lineage: Bacteria
Description: partial 16S ribosomal RNA
Rfam family: Bacterial small subunit ribosomal RNA
Source: RNAcentral